This is a small nuclear RNA of Callithrix jacchus (white-tufted-ear marmoset), 107 nucleotides long. NCBI's taxonomy places the organism in Eukaryota, Metazoa, Chordata, Mammalia, Primates, Cebidae. The record is from Ensembl.
GUCCUCACUUCAGCAGCACAUUUACUAAAAUUGAAGCAAUACAGAGAAAAUUAGCAUGGACCCUGUGCAAGGAUGACACACAAAUUCAUGAAGCAUUCCAUAUUUUU